This is a non-coding RNA of Canis lupus familiaris (dog), 91 nucleotides long. Lineage: Eukaryota; Metazoa; Chordata; Mammalia; Carnivora; Canidae. The record is from Rfam.
CGGGGGAGGCGGGAUCCUGGGCUGUGUCCCGGCGCCCUGUGCUCCGGAGCCUGCGCUGGUGGAUUCGCGCUCCCGGGCCGCUCAGCCCCCU